RNAcentral lists this ribosomal RNA (445 nucleotides) under uncultured bacterium. Its description in RNAcentral is "bacterial SSU rRNA". It matches the Rfam family "Bacterial small subunit ribosomal RNA", at positions 355 to 822 of the family's 1533-position model. The record is from RNAcentral.
UCGGGAAUUUUGGGCAAUGGGCGAAAGCCUGACCCAGCAACGCCGCGUGCGGGAAGAAGGCCCUCGGGUUGUAAACCGCUUUCAGAAGGAACGAAACUGACGGUACUUUCAGAAGAAGGUGCGGCCAACUACGUGCCAGCAGCCGCGGUGACACGUAGGCACCAAGCGUUGUCCGGAUUUAUUGGGCGUAAAGAGCUCGUAGGCGGUUGCGUAAGUCGGAUGUGAAAACUCAGGGCUCAACCCUGAGACGCCAUCCGAUACUGCGCUGACUUGAAUCCAGUAGGGGAGUGUGGAAUUCCUGGUGUAGCGGUGAAAUGCGCAGAUAUCAGGAGGAACACCCAUGGCGAAGGCAGCACUCUGGGCUGGUAUUGACGCUGAGGAGCGAAAGCAUGGGUAGCGAACAGGAUUAGAUACCCUCGUAGUCCCUGAGCGGGCUGGCAAGGCG